Small nuclear RNA from Mesocricetus auratus (golden hamster), 92 nucleotides. The record is from Ensembl. Lineage: Eukaryota; Metazoa; Chordata; Mammalia; Rodentia; Cricetidae.
GUGCUCACUUCAGCAGCACACAUGCUAAAGUUGGACCCGACACAGGGUAGCACGGCCCCUGCACAAGGAUGACACACAAAUUACAUAUUUUU